AGGUCUAGAAGCUUCUAUAGGCGUGUGUGCAAAGGGCUCACCACUACUCCCAGUGUAGUAACUCCAGAGCAUUGCCUGAGGUUGGUGUUUUAGCAAACCCAGUUUCACCACUGGCCUAUUUGUACUACCACAGUGUGUAGGAAGCCGGCAAUACUAGUGUGGGUCUAGAGGAUGGGGAUGGUUCAGCAGCCCUUGGAUAAAUAUCGGAGUGUGGAGUAUGACGGAGAGGUUUUGUUGUUCCUGUUGUUCUUCAUUCAUGUACACGCUAUGAAACCAGCGUUUUCUUAUCUGGAGCUGUCCCAGGCUUCAGCAUCCAGAGGCUGGUGAUCACUAAUCGCCUUAUUUCCCCUCCUUCAGGGAAAUUCUAACUCCUGUCCUCUGCCGCUGAGUAGAUCUUUAAGCUGGUAAUAACGUGAGACAGAGGGAAAUUAACGGCCUCGUCCUGCUCUUCCCUGGCUGAAAACGGCGGAAUUAAAGAAUUAUAAAGAGAGGGGAUGAGGAGGGCAGGCAGCCUUCCUCUGCCACCAAGUGCUGCUGCAGUGAUGCCAUGUGGGUGCUGCACCCCUUGUGCUUCACUGGGGAUGUAAGUCCGGGAUGCGGGGACACACACACAGAGUGGGACCAGGGCUGCAGUGGCCUUUGUCUGCCUGUGCCAAACAGAUGUGAACAAACCCGAGUUCGAUUUCCAAGACCGCCUGGGGAAUAUUGCAAACUAAUUAUAGCAAACAGAAGAUGCUCUCCCCUCCUCUUGCAGUUUUUGAUAAACAUUGUCUCCUCUCCACAGCUGAGUAUUUAAUUAGUGUUGAUUGUUGUUCGUGUGUUCAAUAACCACUCAUCAGGAGGGGGGUGUCCGCUGGGGCAGCGUGGCCUGGAGCACACAGGAGCCGAGGGUGUUCAUAAUUAAGGAUGCAAUUUAUUUGACAGCAGCCUCCUCCGGGGAAGCGAGCGGCAGCACUCCCUGUGCUGGAUGUGCCGAGCCCCAGAGCACUUGGGAAAUGCCUAGACCAACGUGGGCUUUUUGGCUCUUAAUAGGCAGUAGGGAUGAUCUGUGCGCUGAGCAUCUUCCUAAGGGACAGGCAUGGUCCCGUGGUGAACUGAGCCUUGGAGCACAGAGGGAGGAGGAUGAGGAUACCGGGAGCGCUGCCUCAGCUCUGGUGACACAUCCCUUGUCUCCCAGAUUUACACUCUUAUCUUUUUGCAUUGAAAGCCCUAGGUGAAGACGGAGAAGGUGGCAGGAGAUGCUGGCAGACAUGAAUGCAACGGGGGAGCCAGGGCUGUUAAGCCAAACUGUUCCCUGUGCAAAGGAUGCCAUGAGGGAUGCUGCGAGGGAUGUCACAAGGGAUGCAGCAAACGAUGCUAUCGUGGAUGCAGCAAAGGAUCCUAUGAAGGAUGCUGCAAG
This is a long non-coding RNA of Pezoporus flaviventris, 1399 nucleotides long. RefSeq lists it as uncharacterized. The record is from RefSeq and is a predicted model, not a curated record. NCBI's taxonomy places the organism in Eukaryota, Metazoa, Chordata, Aves, Psittaciformes, Psittacidae. The transcript has 5 exons.